UACGGGAGGCAGCAGUGAGGAAUAUUGGUCAAUGGGCGUAAGCCUGAACCAGCCAAGUCGCGUGAGGGAUGAAGGUUCUAUGGAUCGUAAACCUCUUUUAUAAGGGAAUAAAGUGCGGGACGUGUCCCGUUUUGUAUGUACCUUAUGAAUAAGGAUCGGCUAACUCCGUGCCAGCAGCCGCGGUAAUACGGAGGAUCCGAGCGUUAUCCGGAUUUAUUGGGUUUAAAGGGUGCGUAGGCGGCCUUUUAAGUCAGC
RNAcentral lists this ribosomal RNA (255 nucleotides) under Parabacteroides distasonis. Its description in RNAcentral is "partial 16S ribosomal RNA". It matches the Rfam family "Bacterial small subunit ribosomal RNA", at positions 340 to 592 of the family's 1533-position model. The record is from RNAcentral. Lineage: Bacteria; Pseudomonadati; Bacteroidota; Bacteroidia; Bacteroidales; Tannerellaceae.